RNAcentral lists this unclassified non-coding RNA (232 nucleotides) under uncultured fungus. RNAcentral's name for it is "sequence contains ITS1". Lineage: Eukaryota; Fungi. The record is from RNAcentral.
GUAUUUCAUUGCGUUAAACGCGACAUACAUUCCAUGAGACUUUGUUACAGUGUGUGUGUAAAGACGUAGAGCCACAGCAGGAGGACAGAGCCCCCCAGGCCAUAGAACUACAGAGGGUGCACAGGUGUGAGUGGAUGUGUAAACAGAGCGUGCACAUGCCCCCGUAUAGGGACCAGCAACAACUCUUGUUAACAAUUCAGUAAUGAUCCUUCCGCAGGUUCACCUACGGAAA